This is a long non-coding RNA of Carya illinoinensis, 1504 nucleotides long. RefSeq lists it as uncharacterized. NCBI's taxonomy places the organism in Eukaryota, Viridiplantae, Streptophyta, Magnoliopsida, Fagales, Juglandaceae. The record is from RefSeq and is a predicted model, not a curated record. The transcript has 2 exons.
UUUAUUAGUUUUAGUUUUCCUUAGUUUUAUUUUUUUCCAGUAUUGGUGCGGCGGCUUCAUUUUUUUUUUCCAAUUUUCAUUUUCUUUCAUUAGCCUUUUCUUUCGGUUUUCAUUUUUUUGCCGGAGACUUUGCUUUCAGUGUUGGUUUCUUGUUGGGCGGACGCUGGGUAACUCUUUAGAUGAUUUUUUUUUUUUUUUUUGAUGUUUUGGCUCUAGUUUUAUAUUUUAUUUUUUUUGGCUUUCACUGUUUUUCCUUCUUCUUCAUUUUAGACUUUUCUUUCAGGCUUAGUUUUAUUUUUCAUGGGUGAGACUGUUCAGUUUCGUUUUCAUUUUUCUGGAUUUUAUUUUGGUUCUACUGGGUAGAGUUCUCAAGAUUGAUUCGAACUCAAACCCAGAACUUCACCUUUGCAUUGAAAAAAAAAAUCCAAUUAAAGUUGAUAGAAUUUGUGGCUGGAAAGCCAUGAAAAUGGACCAAAAAAGUUAAUUUACUCAGUUUAAUCCAUUUCCAGAGCUGAGGUAAAGCUGGACGGCAUUGUAGAGCUCGUUGAUGUUGACUCUGUCGAUCUCGGUGAUGUCGAAGUAGUAGUAGGAGGAGAACCAGCGGAUUGAGGGCAGUGCAAAGGGAUGAAGUGAGGAAGAGAGGGGCGGGCGGUGCAAAUGAGAAGACAAAAAGGCUACGCUACAUACGACUAUGACUCUCUGUGCCCGACCGUCGGGAAGCGUUUCUCUAUACAAAACUUUAUUGUUUCCUUUGAUCUCCUCUGAGCCUAUUCAAGUUCGUUGAGUUCAGACCAUACCACCUUAAAUAUGGAGGAUGGAGUAUAUAUAUGCUUUUUUAUGAAGCAAGAACAUUGUCGUUGCUACUGUUUGGAGCAUGCAAUAUAAAGGUGCAAACAGGUUUAGACUCAAUCGUCAUCUUGACUUCAUCAUGGCAUGGCCUGACAGUUUUCCUGGACAGAACAAAAACUCAAGUAAAAACCAUAUUGACGGAUCACAUAAAAUUGUCUUUCUUUAUCUUGGCAGUAGAUAAGUUUGUUUUAAAUUUCGAAUGCUUUUGAUUCAUGAUGGUCACUAUUACUGUUGCUAGCAUUGCGUCUCAAUGCUUGCUCAUGACCAGCUGCAAAUGAAAGCUUUACUUUGACCAUCAAUUCUCAUGGGCACAUAUAAGGGAUCUCAACUAUAUUUUGGUGUGGAUUGAGAAGGCUGGCGCGCUGCAUAGGUUGGGAUCUGCAAAGCUACUUUGGAGAAAUUGAUUAGAAAAGACUCAAGGACGGCCACGGGUAUGAUGAGGCAGUGUCUAAUUUGGAUGGAAUAAUCUUUCUCCAUAGUCAUGGGCCAGUUCUGCAGAUUACAAAGCCAUUUCACGGUUUCACCAGAAACAAAAAAAGAAAGAAUUUUUUCAUUUUGCCAUUCUGGCAGUUGUAACAAUUAGCAAUGUACCUGAAAUUCAUCCUGAUGGGAGUUUUUCUCUUAAGUUGAUGAGAGUUGUAGCAAUUCAGCUGUA